UGUAGGCUUCGCCUGUGUUCAUGAAAUCGGCCCAGGACAACGGUAAAGACUACGAGAACGUUUUUUAAUUCCCGUUAGUGUGCAGGCGACAGCACGCACGUUGCGCCCGGUGUGUUAUUACAGGUGCAGCCCGGCCGGCCUACCGGUGGAUAAUUAGCCGAGCAGCAGGCACUCACGGCCGGUCAAAUCCCGAGCGCCUCCUGGCUCCGCAUCCUUUUCCAAGCCAAAACCUUCUCAUCACCCUUCCCUGUCGGCUUCUCCUCCCGCUGAGUUGUCAGGCAGCCCAGUUAGAGAAUACAGAUCCUGACUGAGCCUGACUUAGAUUUUCAACCUGCAGAGAGAGCAGCUUUUCCCUCUGCUGCCCAGCAUCUUUACUCUCUGUCUGAUCUAAAGGAUUCAGCUCCCAUAGGAAUAAAACAGAGCUCUAUGAGAAUGUAUCCUGCACCCUGCCCAGAAUGUGACAACUAAAUGAGCUGUUGGUCCAGAGUCCAGUCUCACCAGGCAUCAGUACAUACAUGUGUGUAUCCAGUG
Molecule: long non-coding RNA, 531 nt
Organism: Myripristis murdjan (pinecone soldierfish)
Lineage: Eukaryota; Metazoa; Chordata; Actinopteri; Holocentriformes; Holocentridae
Exons: 4
Source: RefSeq, a predicted model, not a curated record